UACGGAGGGUGCAAACGUUGCUCGGAAUCAUUGGGCGUAAAGCGAACGUAGGCGGCUAUGUAAGUCGGGUGUGAAAGCCCUCGGCUCAACCGAGGAAGUGCAUUCGAAACUGCAUGGCUUGAGUAUCGGAGAGGAUAGCGGAAUUCCCGGUGUAGAGGUGAAAUUCGUAGAUAUCGGGAGGAACACCAGUGGCGAAGGCGGCUAUCUGGACGAAUACUGACGCUGAAGUUCGAAAGCGUGGGGAGCAAACAGG
This 253-nucleotide ribosomal RNA is filed under the name uncultured bacterium. RNAcentral's name for it is "partial 16S ribosomal RNA". It matches the Rfam family "Bacterial small subunit ribosomal RNA", at positions 524 to 776 of the family's 1533-position model. The record is from RNAcentral.